GCCCUCAUAGCUCAGGUGGUAGAGCGCAUUCUUGGUAAGAAUGAGGUCAGCAGUUCAACUCUGCUUGAGGGCUCCA
Molecule: transfer RNA, 76 nt
Filed under: Chloroflexota bacterium
Lineage: Bacteria; Bacillati; Chloroflexota
Also listed under: 1 other name
Description: Chloroflexi bacterium tRNA-Thr
Rfam family: tRNA
About the family: Transfer RNA (tRNA) molecules are approximately 80 nucleotides in length.
Source: RNAcentral